Molecule: small nuclear RNA, 124 nt
Filed under: Lynx canadensis (Canada lynx)
Lineage: Eukaryota; Metazoa; Chordata; Mammalia; Carnivora; Felidae
Description: U2 spliceosomal RNA (ENSLCNG00005002663.1)
Rfam family: U2 spliceosomal RNA
About the family: U2 is a small nuclear RNA (snRNA) component of the spliceosome (involved in pre-mRNA splicing).
Source: Rfam by way of RNAcentral
AUCGCUUCUCGGCCUUUUGGCUAAGAUCAAGUGUAGAAAUCCCAUUAAUAAUUCAUACUUCCACUUGAUGAAUAUUGUCUGCAAUAGUAUUUUUCUGAUUUCUUCCAGAAAAAGAAUUAUUCUC